Molecule: unclassified non-coding RNA, 256 nt
Filed under: plant metagenome
Description: partial contains small subunit ribosomal RNA, internal transcribed spacer 1, and 5.8S ribosomal RNA
Rfam family: Eukaryotic small subunit ribosomal RNA (bases 1-54)
Source: RNAcentral
GGAAGUAAAAGUCGUAGCAAGGUUUCCGUAGGUGAACCUGCGGAAGGAUCAUUAAUGUGUUUGGGCCUCACGGCUCUUCAUUCCGACGCUGUGCGCCUUCGGGCUGCACGCUGAGGGAGCAUAUAUCCACCCCUGUGCACACACACGGUGGCGAGCUGGGUAACGGCUCGCCGCUGAUCUUUACACACGUCUAAAAGUCAUUGUAUGUUUAUUUGAGAUAAAAACACAACUUUCAGCAACGGAUCUCUUGGCUCUC